CAGUAGCCAGGUAAUACGUAGGGCGCAAGCGUUGUCCGGAAUUAUUGGGCGUAAAGAGCUCGUAGGCGGUCUGUCGCGUCUGGUGUGAAAUCCCGAGGCUCAACCUCGGGCUUGCAUCGGGUACGGGCAGACUAGAGUGCGGUAGGGGAGACUGGAAUUCCUGGUGUAGCGGUGGAAUGCGCAGAUAUCAGGAGGAACACCGAUGGCGAAGGCAGGUCUCUGGGCCGCAACUGACGCUGAGGAGCGAAAGCAUGGGGAGCGAACAGGAUUAGAUACCCCCUGUAGUCCCUGUCUCUUAUAU
RNAcentral lists this ribosomal RNA (301 nucleotides) under uncultured bacterium. RNAcentral's name for it is "partial 16S ribosomal RNA". It matches the Rfam family "Bacterial small subunit ribosomal RNA", at positions 509 to 809 of the family's 1533-position model. The record is from RNAcentral.